This 463-nucleotide ribosomal RNA is filed under the name uncultured bacterium. Its description in RNAcentral is "bacterial SSU rRNA". It matches the Rfam family "Bacterial small subunit ribosomal RNA", at positions 28 to 507 of the family's 1533-position model. The record is from RNAcentral.
GACGAACGCUGGCGGCGUGCUUUACACAUGCAAGUCGAACGAGAACCUUCCUUCGGGAAGCAGAGAGUGGCGAACGGGUGAGUAACACGUGGGCAACCUACCCCUCACACUGGGAUAACCUCGGGAAACCGGGGCUAAUACCGGAUAUUCACGACCUCGGGCAUCCGAGGACGUGGAAAGGAUUCUGGUGAGGGAUGGGCCCGCGGCCUAUCAGUUUGUUGGUGGGUAAUGGCCUACCAAGACGACGACGGGUAGCCGGCCUGAGAGGGCGACCGGCCACACUGGGACUGAGACACGGCCCAGACUCCUACGGGAGGCUGCAGUGGGGAAUAUUGCGCAAUGGACGAAAGUCUGACGCAGCAACGCCGCGUGAGGGAUGAAGUACAUCGAGAUGUAAACCUCUUUCAGCAGGGACGAAGCGAAAGUGACGGUACCUGCAGAAGAAGCGCCGGCUAACUACGUG